GGAGAGUUUGAUCCUGGCUCAGGAUGAACGCUGGCGGCGUGCCUAAUACAUGCAAGUCGAACGGAGUAUAUGAGCAAUUGUAUACUUAGUGGCGAACGGGUGAGUAACGCGUUGGUGACCUGCCCCGAAGCGGGGGACAACAGUUCGAAAGGGCUGCUAAUACCCCAUGUAGUUGAGAGAGACUAGAAGCUUUCAACUAAAGGAGAAAUCCACUUCGGGAGGGGCCUGCGUCCCAUCAGCUAGUUGGUAGGGUAAAAGCCUACCAAGGCGAAGACGGGUAGGGGACCUGAGAGGGUGGCCCCCCACAAUGGAACUGAAACACGGUCCAUACACCUACGGGUGGCAGCAGUAGGGAAUAUUGCACCAUGGGCGAAAGCCUGAUGCAGCAACGCCGCGU
RNAcentral lists this ribosomal RNA (397 nucleotides) under Chloroflexi bacterium HGW-Chloroflexi-8. RNAcentral's name for it is "bacterial SSU rRNA". It matches the Rfam family "Bacterial small subunit ribosomal RNA", at positions 6 to 402 of the family's 1533-position model. The record is from RNAcentral. Lineage: Bacteria; Bacillati; Chloroflexota.